RNAcentral lists this ribosomal RNA (499 nucleotides) under uncultured bacterium. RNAcentral describes it as "bacterial SSU rRNA". It matches the Rfam family "Bacterial small subunit ribosomal RNA", at positions 28 to 507 of the family's 1533-position model. The record is from RNAcentral.
GGCUAACGCUGGCGGCGUGUCUUAGCCAUGCAAGUCGAGCGGACUUAUGGGGUAACUUAUAAGUCGGCGGCGGACGGCGGAGUAACACGUAGCUAACCUACCCUCUGGACGGGGAUAACCUACCGAAAGGUGGGCUAAUACCCGAUGUAGUCAUCCUGUAUAGGGGUGAUGAAAGGUGGGCUUCUGUUUACAAGCUCAUGCUGGAGGAGGGGGCUGCGGCCUAUCAGGUAGUUGGUAGGGUAAUAGCCUACCAAGCCGAUGACGGGUAGCCGGCCUGAGAGGGUGACCGGCCCGAGGGGCACUGAGAUACGGGUCCCACUCCUACGGGAGGCAGCAGGCUAGAAAUUUGGGCAAUGGGGGGAAACCCUGACCCAGUGACGCCGCGUGCAGGAAGGAGCCCUUCGGGGUGUAAACUGCUGUCGUGUAGGGAGAAGGGUACUAAGGUGAACAAUCUUAGUACUUGACGGUACUACAGGAGGAAGCCCAGGCUAACCUCGUG